GACGAACGCUGGCGGCGCGCCUAACACAUGCAAGUCGAACGAGAAAGAGGGAGCUUGCUCCCUUGAUCGAGUGGCGAACGGGUGAGUAACGCGUGAGGAACCUGCCUCAAAGAGGGGGACAACAGUUGGAAACGACUGCUAAUACCGCAUAAGCCCACGGCUCGGCAUCGAGCAGAGGGAAAAGGAGCGAUCCGCUUUGAGAUGGCCUCGCGUCCGAUUAGCUAGUUGGUGAGGUAACGGCCCACCAAGGCGACGAUCGGUAGCCGGACUGAGAGGUUGAACGGCCACAUUGGGACUGAGACACGGCCCAGACUCCUACGGGAGGCAGCAGUGGGGAAUAUUGCACAAUGGGGGAAACCCUGAUGCAGCGACGCCGCGUGGAGGAAGAAGGUCUUCGGAUUGUAAACUCCUGUUGUUGAGGAAGAUAAUGACGGUACUCAACAAGGAAGUGACGGCUAACUACGUG
Molecule: ribosomal RNA, 466 nt
Filed under: uncultured bacterium
Lineage: Bacteria
Description: bacterial SSU rRNA
Rfam family: Bacterial small subunit ribosomal RNA
Source: RNAcentral